RNAcentral lists this unclassified non-coding RNA (270 nucleotides) under Hevea brasiliensis (rubber tree). The record is from RNAcentral. Lineage: Eukaryota; Viridiplantae; Streptophyta; Magnoliopsida; Malpighiales; Euphorbiaceae.
GACAUUGAUGAGAGCCAGCUCCCUGAUGUAUAUGGAGGCAGACUAGCAUUAGUUCCUAUCCAAGACAGCUAACUUGAUGACUUGCACCAAUUGGAUGUUUCAGCAGCAUUCUGCUGUACAAUUGGUUGGCUUCAGGAACCAAACCUGAUGACAAUGAUAGUUCAUACCCGCAUAUUUUUCUUCUCCCGUUGGCUUUUCCAAGGGUUUGUAGUCCUUCAAUAUGAGCCAUAUAAUCUGGGAUCAUAAAUGUAAUUUUAACUCUUUUGGAUA